UACGUAGGGGGCGAGCGUUGUCCGGAUUUAUUGGGCGUAAAGAGCUCGUAGGCCGUUCGGUAAGUCAGAUGUGAAAACUCCAGGCUCAACUUGGAGACGCCAUCUGAUACUGCCGUGACUAGAGUCCGGUAGGGGAGCACGGAAUUCCUGGUGUAGCGGUGAAAUGCGCAGAUAUCAGGAGGAACACCAGCGGCGAAGGCGGUGCUCUGGGCCGGAACUGACGCUGAGGAGCGAAAGCGUGGGUAGCGAACAGG
This 254-nucleotide ribosomal RNA is filed under the name uncultured bacterium. RNAcentral describes it as "partial 16S ribosomal RNA". It matches the Rfam family "Bacterial small subunit ribosomal RNA", at positions 524 to 776 of the family's 1533-position model. The record is from RNAcentral.